UGUUGGGUUAAGUCCCGCAACGAGCGCAACCCUCGUUCUAUGUUGCCAGCACGUGAUGGUGGGGACUCAUAGGAGACUGCCGGGGUCAACUCGGAGGAAGGGGGGGACGACGUCAAAUCAUCAUGCCCCUUAUGUCUUGGGCUUCACGCAUGCUACAAUGGCCGGUACAAAGGGUUGCGAUACUGUGAGGUGGAGCUAAUCCCAAAAAGCCGGUCUCAGUUCGGAUUGGGGUCUGCAACUCGACCCCAUGAAGUCGGAGUCGCUAGUAAUC
RNAcentral lists this ribosomal RNA (271 nucleotides) under Arthrobacter sp. BC2_TSA3A3. Its description in RNAcentral is "partial 16S ribosomal RNA". It matches the Rfam family "Bacterial small subunit ribosomal RNA", at positions 1073 to 1343 of the family's 1533-position model. The record is from RNAcentral. Lineage: Bacteria; Bacillati; Actinomycetota; Actinomycetes; Micrococcales; Micrococcaceae.